CCUACGGGAGGCAGCAGUGGGGAAUAUUGCACAAUGGGGGAAACCCUGAUGCAGCGACGCCGCGUGAGUGAAGAAGUAAUUCGUCACGUAAAGCUCUAUCAGCAGGGAAGAAAAUGACGGUACCUGAGUAAGCAGCCCCGGCUAACUACGUGCCAGCAGCCGCGGUAAUACGUAGGGGGCAAGCGUUAUCCGGAUUUACUGGGUGUAAAGGGGGCGUAGACGGCAUUGCAAGCCUGGAGUGAAAGGCGGGGGCUCAACCCCCGGACUGCUCUGGAAACUGUGCGGCUGGAGUGCAGGAGAGGAAAGUGGAAUUCCUAGUGUAGCGGUGAAAUGCGUAGAUAUUAGGAGGAACACCAGUGGCGAAGGCGGCUUGCUGGACUGUAACUGACGUUGAGGCUCGAAAGCGUGGGGAGCAAACAGGAUUAGAUACCCCGGUAGUC
RNAcentral lists this ribosomal RNA (440 nucleotides) under uncultured bacterium. RNAcentral's name for it is "partial 16S ribosomal RNA". It matches the Rfam family "Bacterial small subunit ribosomal RNA", at positions 338 to 795 of the family's 1533-position model. The record is from RNAcentral.